This is a non-coding RNA of Paramuricea clavata, 581 nucleotides long. The record is from the annotation of a GenBank genome assembly. NCBI's taxonomy places the organism in Eukaryota, Metazoa, Cnidaria, Anthozoa, Malacalcyonacea, Plexauridae.
GCUGGGCAAUAAAGAAUUAUUGUCAUCUCCAAAGCAUGAAGACUCGCCGGAAUUUCCUAGGAAUUCAUUGCCAGAUACCCCUGGCAAAUGGCUUUAAUCGCGGACCAUCCUCUGAAUUUUGGUCUCUAAUCACCCCACUCCCUGGACUUCUGCAUGCGGUCUUUUUCACCCCUCCCCCUGGAUUUUUCAAGGCCUUUUUUUAGAACUCCCCCUGGAGGAGAGUCACUAUCUUGAUCAUUUUCCGAUUUGUCUCCCAAGAAAGUACAUGUGCAAAAAACAUGAAACUUUAGAUUGCAGAAAAUUGCACAAGCAGUUAUCAAACUCAUGUCACACAAAUGGUAAAGGCCUACUAAAGGGCAUGUGUGACAAUUGAAUGGUACCCUGCUCUAACGUUUUUGGCCAGGGAUGGGUAUUUAUCUUUUAAAUGAUAUUUGAGGUUGAGUAAACAUUUUUUGACUUUUUAAUGGUUGGAUCAGCAAAAUGUUUAACUCCCGCCAUAAAUAAUGACUGGUCCAGUGGCGCCGUGGCCGGGGCAUGCCCCCCAAUUGUUGAGACUCGUCGGAAAAUUGGUAAUGUUGUCG